GAUGAACGCUAGCUACAGGCUUAACACAUGCAAGUCGCGGGGCAGCAUGGGGGUUGCUUGCCAUCCCCGAUGGCGACCGGCGCACGGGUGAGUAACGCGUAUCCAACCUGCCCUUCACCACGGGAUAACCCGGCGAAAGUCGGACUAAUACCGUAUGUUGUCCAUUGACGGCCUCCGAUUUGGACGAAAGGUUUGGCGGUGAAGGAUGGGGAUGCGUCCGAUUAGCUGGACGGCGGGGUGACGGCCCACCGGGGCGACGAUCGGUAGGGGUUCUGAGAGGAAGGUCCCCCACACUGGAACUGAGACACGGUCCAGACUCCUACGGGAGGCAGCAGUGAGGAAUAUUGGUCAAUGGGCGUAAGCCUGAACCAGCCAAGUAGCGUGCAGGAUGACGGCCCUAUGGGUUGUAAACUGCUUUUAUGCGGGGAUAAAGUGGCCCACGUGUGGGUUUUUGCAGGUACCGAAUGAAUAAGGACCGGCUAAUUCCGUG
This 490-nucleotide ribosomal RNA is filed under the name uncultured bacterium. RNAcentral describes it as "partial 16S ribosomal RNA". It matches the Rfam family "Bacterial small subunit ribosomal RNA", at positions 28 to 507 of the family's 1533-position model. The record is from RNAcentral.